Molecule: ribosomal RNA, 433 nt
Filed under: uncultured Anaerovorax sp.
Lineage: Bacteria; Bacillati; Bacillota; Clostridia; Peptostreptococcales; Anaerovoracaceae
Description: partial 16S ribosomal RNA
Rfam family: Bacterial small subunit ribosomal RNA
Source: RNAcentral
ACGGAAGGCAGCAGUGGGGAAUAUUGCACAAUGGGGGAAACCCUGAUGCAGCAACGCCGCGUGAAGGAUGAAGGCCUUUGGGUCGUAAACUUCUGUCCUUGGGGAAGAUAAUGACGGUACCCUUGGAGGAAGCCCCGGCUCACUACGUGCCAGCAGCCGCGGUAAUACGUAGGGGGCAAGCGUUAUCCGGAAUUAUUGGGCGUAAAGAGUACGUAGGCGGUUUCCUAAGCGGAGGGUCUAAGGCAAGGGCUCAACCAUUGGUCGCCCUGUGAACUGGGAGACUUGAGUGCAGGAGGGGAAAGCGGAAUUCCUAGUGUAGCGGUGAAAUGCGUAGAUAUUAGGAGGAACACCAGUGGCGAAGGCGGCUUUCUGGACUGUAACUGACGCUGAGGUACGAAAGUGUGGGGAGCAAACAGGAUUAGAUACCCUGGUA